UUCCUGUUAACACCGGCACGCACAUACCGAGUGUGUAAAUGGUCAUGUGAUAUUUGUUGUCAGACUUGUUAAUAUGGACGCAGAUUAGUUCUGCUGUUGGAGCUAAAGCUCUUGUGUGGACGGAGAUCAUUUCUGUCUCAAAAAUCAGCUUAGAAAAAGAA
Long non-coding RNA from Etheostoma cragini (Arkansas darter), 161 nucleotides. RefSeq lists it as uncharacterized. The transcript is spliced from 3 exons. The record is from RefSeq and is a predicted model, not a curated record. Lineage: Eukaryota; Metazoa; Chordata; Actinopteri; Perciformes; Percidae.